Phascolarctos cinereus (koala) is the source of this 846-nucleotide non-coding RNA. NCBI's taxonomy places the organism in Eukaryota, Metazoa, Chordata, Mammalia, Diprotodontia, Phascolarctidae. The record is from RefSeq and is a predicted model, not a curated record.
CUGAAUGCCUCAAAUUUCUUGAAAACUCCCCAAUAUUAACAUCCCAGAAUUUUAGUGAAGUUUUCAUCAGCACCCUUACUGAUAAAAUUAAUUUGUAUUGAAGAAAUAUAAUUUGAACUGGUUUUCAGCUGAUUCCUGACUAAGCCUAAAUACAGAGAAUAGGUGUGGCUAUUUUCUACCUGCCAACCUGUUGCUAAAUGGUCCAUAACUGUCAAAAGGUUUGCAUUGUUCAUCUCUAGAUGAGAACAAUAGUGUCCUGGUUAAUCACUGGAUCCAUGGAACAGGCAUGAAAUGUGUGGAGUCCUUCCAGCUAUCAGUGAAAAAUGUUUAUUAAGGACCUACUGUAUGCCAGGUGAUGUAAUAGGUGCUGAGGAUAUCCCCAAGCCCCAUGCCAUGCUAUGGGGGAUGUGCGGUUAAGCAUCUUCUAGGUUUCUCUUUGGAGAAGAGUGAAGGAAAAUCCACAAGCUCACGCCCUAUUUGAUCAUUUGGCUGUAAAUAGCUUUGGGACGUUUCAAGAUGAAAGACCCAUUGGAAGGAAAAAUUCUCAUCUGAUUAAUUCUGAACUUGGCUUCUGGAUACUUCUGGAUACCUUCCAGAUAAUGUGGAACUUAACCAUUAACUAUUAACUAUUGAUUGGCUAUUAACUAUGACUCUUGCCUGGAAUCAAGCAGAGGAAUCUCUGCAAGUGAAUUGGAACCAGAGAAGCAGAUCUAUUAGGAGGAGCUUGCUUCAGAACUGCCCUGAGUAUGAGGCCUAUUCCAAGGGAAGAUGUUUCUAAGGACCGCAUGACUACAUGAGAAACCUAGGGAUCAUAGUGAAAUGUGCUGAUUAAAUGAGUGAGUUAUC